Molecule: long non-coding RNA, 806 nt
Organism: Lathyrus oleraceus (garden pea)
Lineage: Eukaryota; Viridiplantae; Streptophyta; Magnoliopsida; Fabales; Fabaceae
Exons: 2
Source: RefSeq, a predicted model, not a curated record
CCUUAACUUUUAUCAAACCAUCAUAUAUAUUCACGUAAGUUGGUAGCUUCAACUCUUAAUACCAACUCAUGAAUUUGAUUUAAAUUCUACUGGCCUUCUGCUUUACCUUCCUCAAAUAUGUUCUUGUAGGUAUGUGAAUCAACGGUGUUACCAUGGGUUUGAUUUAAAUACUGGUAUAUAUUUGCACCAUUUCUUCAGAUCUAAUUCCCUAUCAAUUAAAUUUCACUUAAUUUCAUUCAUAUGUGAUAUUCUAUAAUCUCCUCUAAAUCUUGUUCUAAAUUAUGGAGCUUCAUUCUAACAGUUGAAGAUGAAGUUUAUUCAUUCAGCAGAAAUCUCUAUGAUGCAAUUUGAUUGGUCUCUUGUCAGAGUUUAUUUUUCUUUUCCUCGACCGUGAUUUCCUUGAUUAAUUGAGAUUGAAAAUGGUAAUGGAUGCAUAUGUAAGUGUUGCACCUUCAGGUUGGUAAUGGAUGCAUAUGCAGGUGUUGGUCCUUCAUGUCAUUCUAUCACAUUGCCAAUGGAUUCAUGUGUGUUUAUUUUUGAAAUGGUAAUUGAUGUAUAUGUAGACAAGAGGAAGACAAGAAAAAUCAUUGCUGCAAACAUUUCCAAGCUUUACAUUUGUAACACUUUUAUAUUAAUUUCAUUUUUAAAUCAUGCUAAUUGUAAAUGUUAUUUUAUAAUAUUAGGCUAGUGAAAGUUUUACUUUCAUUCAUUUUAUGUUGAGCUAGCUUCUCGAGCAUCUUCCUCCUCAGAAACAUUGAAAGACAAAAUAUCAACUCGAAUGAAAGCACUAUUGAGGAUGGUACUAA